UCAACCCUCGGGUAAUCGCUAAUCUUGACUAAGUCUCUGAGCCGAUAAGCAUUAUCCUGGUAAUCUGGCCUGAAUGCUAUUGUGCAAGCUCAACUUCGUGUUUUUAACAUGCUGAAUUGAGAAGCCUACGGCAAACACUGGAAUGCCAACUUUGACCUUCGGGUUCAAAGUUACAGUCAAAAACGCUACCCUUGGGUUAUUC
This 202-nucleotide non-coding RNA is filed under the name Psychromonas hadalis. RNAcentral's name for it is "6S RNA". It matches the Rfam family "6S / SsrS RNA". Rfam says of the family: E. coli 6S RNA was the first non coding RNA to be sequenced, but its function was unknown until recently. It consists of 184 nucleotides that fold into an extended hairpin structure with a large single-stranded internal bulge. The record is from RNAcentral. Lineage: Bacteria; Pseudomonadati; Pseudomonadota; Gammaproteobacteria; Alteromonadales; Psychromonadaceae.